GGCGUGCUUAACACAUGCAAGUCGAACGGAAAGGCCCUGCUUUUGUGGGGUGCUCGAGUGGCGAACGGGUGAGUAACACGUGAGUAACCUGCCCUUGACUUUGGGAUAACUUCAGGAAACUGGGGCUAAUACCGGAUAGGAGCUCCUGCUGCAUGGUGGGGGUUGGAAAGUUUCGGCGGUUGGGGAUGGACUCGCGGCUUAUCAGCUUGUUGGUGGGGUAGUGGCUUACCAAGGCUUUGACGGGUAGCCGGCCUGAGAGGGUGACCGGCCACAUUGGGACUGAGAUACGGCCCAGACUCCUACGGGAGGCAGCAGUGGGGAAUAUUGCACAAUGGGCGGAAGCCUGAUGCAGCAACGCCGCGUGCGGGAUGACGGCCUUCGGGUUGUAAACCGCUUUCGCCUGUGACGAAGCGUGAGUGACGGUAAUGGGUAAAGAAGCACCGGCUAACUACGUGCCAGCAGCCGCGGUGAUACGUAGGGUGCGAGCGUUGUCCGGAUUUAUUGGGCGUAAAGGGCUCGUAGGUGGUUGAUCGCGUCGGAAGUGUAAUCUUGGGGCUUAACCCUGAGCGUGCUUUCGAUACGGGUUGACUUGAGGAAGGUAGGGGAGAAUGGAAUUCCUGGUGGAGCGGUGGAAUGCGCAGAUAUCAGGAGGAACACCAGUGGCGAAGGCGGUUCUCUGGGCCUUUCCUGACGCUGAGGAGCGAAAGCGUGGGGAGCGAACAGGCUUAGAUACCCUGGUAGUCCACGCUGUAAACGGUGGGUACUAGGUGUGGGGUCCAUUCCACGGGUUCCGUGCCGUAGCUAACGCUUUAAGUACCCCGCCUGGGGAGUACGGCCGCAAGGCUAAAACUCAAAGGAAUUGACGGGGCCCCGCACAAGCGGCGGAGCAUGCGGAUUAAUUCGAUGCAACGCGUAGAACCUUACCUGGGUUUGACAUGGAUCGGGAGUGCUCAGAGAUGGGUGUGCCUCUUUUGGGGUCGGUUCACAGGUGGUGCAUGGCUGUCGUCAGCUCGUGUCGUGAGAUGUUGGGUUAAGUCCCGCAACGAGCGCAACCCUUGUUCACUGUUGCCAGCACGUUAUGGUGGGGACUCAGUGGAGACCGCCGGGGUCAACUCGGAGGAAGGUGGGGAUGACGUCAAGUCAUCAUGCCCCUUAUGUCCAGGGCUUCACGCAUGCUACAAUGGCUGGUACAGAGAGUGGCGAGCCUGUGAGGGUGAGCGAAUCUCGGAAAGCCGGUCUCAGUUCGGAUUGGGGUCUGCAACUCGACCUCAUGAAGUCGGAGUCGCUAGUAAUCGCAGAUCAGCAACGCUGCGGUGAAUACGUUCCCGGGGCUUGUACACACCGCCCGUCAAGUCAUGAAAGUUGGUAACACCCGAAGCCGGUGGCCUAACCGUUGUGGGGGAGCCGUCGAAGGUGGGACUGGUGAUUAGGACUAAGUCGUAACAAGG
This 1448-nucleotide ribosomal RNA is filed under the name uncultured bacterium. RNAcentral describes it as "16S ribosomal RNA". It matches the Rfam family "Bacterial small subunit ribosomal RNA". The record is from RNAcentral.